RNAcentral lists this ribosomal RNA (199 nucleotides) under uncultured bacterium. Its description in RNAcentral is "partial 16S ribosomal RNA". It matches the Rfam family "Bacterial small subunit ribosomal RNA", at positions 1301 to 1500 of the family's 1533-position model. The record is from RNAcentral.
CAGGCUGCAACCCGCCUGCGUGAAGUUGGAAUUGCUAGUAAUCGCGGAUCAGCAUGCCGCGGUGAAUACGUUCCCGGGCCUUGUACACACCGCCCGUCACACCAUGGAAGUCGGUAAUGCCCGAAGUCAGUAGCCUAACCGCAAGGGGGCGCUGCCGAAGGCAGGAUUGAUGACUGGGGUGAAGUCGUAACAAGGUAUC